RNAcentral lists this long non-coding RNA (380 nucleotides) under Homo sapiens (human). Its description in RNAcentral is "HSALNT0368393". Lineage: Eukaryota; Metazoa; Chordata; Mammalia; Primates; Hominidae. The record is from RNAcentral.
GAUUUCCGGAACCUGGAAGCCUAGGCAGGCAGUGGGGAACUCUGACUCGCCUGUGCUCUGGAGCUUGAUCCGAAAGCUUCCACAGUGAGGACUGCUCCGUGGGGGUAAGAGAGCACCAGGCACUGAGGCCUGGGAGUUCCACAGACCAACACCCCUGCUCCUGGCGGCUCCCACCCGGGACUUAGACCCUCAGGUCCCUAAUAUCCCGGAGGUGCUCUCAAUCAGAAAGGUCCUGCUCCGCUUCGCAGUGGAAUGGAACGGAUUUAGAAGCCUGCAGUAGGGGAGUGGGGAGUGGAGAGAGGGAGCCCAGAGUUACAGACGGCGGCGAGAGGAGGGGCGUCUUUAUUUUUUUAAGGCCCCAAAGAGUCUGAUGUUUACAA